UGGAAGUUCUAAAUAUGAAAAAGCAUAGCAGCCAGGCAAAGAUUAUUGGUACAUUGGUCUCCAUUGUGGGGGCAUUAACCGUGACAUUAUAUAAAGGGAUGCCAUUGAUUAAUGGUGCCUUUCAAAAUAUAGAAAUGGGAGCAACUGAAAUUUACCUAUUAGGGAAAUCAGACUGGAUAAUUGGUGCUUUUCUUCUUGCAACUGCUAGCUUUCUCCUUUCAGUUUUAUUUAUUACCGAGGUAAACAAACCAUGAAUAUAUACGUAAAUAAGGUUAAAAAUUGCAAUUGUUGUUGCGUUUCAAAGAAAACCACAUGUAAACAUGGCUUAUGCGUCUUUUAAUCGAUCAUUGAGACAUCAAAACUUUGAUAUUGGACUUUAGAUUGCGGUCUUGACCUUUUUAUAACGAUUGAGACGUUAAUUUUUUACUAAAUACAUCAAUUUUAUUUAACUCAUAGUGCAACAAUUUGGUAAAGUACAUAUAUUUAAUUUUCUUUUUCGACCUAAACGCAGACUUGGACUAUCAAGGCUUAUCCUGAAGAACUACUAGUAACAUCUAUUUGUAUUAGCUUGGUGGUAAUACAAUCAGGCAUUGUAGCUCUUAUUGUUGAGGGAAAUUCAAAUGCUUGGAUACUUAAACCUAACAAGGAGUUGGUAGCAGUGUGUUUUUCAGUAAGUACAUAUAAACUUGUUAGGAAAUUUAGAAACAUAUUAAAAAUGAAGUAUUAAAUGAAUGCAUUAUAACUUUUUUUUGCAACAAAUGCAUUAUAUCUUAAAAAUCUGCAUUUUUCAAUUGUAACUUAAUUGUUGGUGUAUAAGUUUUAUAAUUAUAAGAUGUGGUGGUUCAUUUAUAGGCAAUAUUUGUGGUAUCAUUGAGGAGUGUUGUAAACAAAUGGGCAUUUCGUAAAAAAGGACCAAUAUAUGUAGCUAUGUUCAACCCUUUAAGAGUGGUCAUUGCACUUGGCAUGGGGAUAUUAUUUUUGGGAAACAAUCUUUAUCUUGGAAGGUAAAUAAAUACAUUUAAAGAACACAAUUUUUUGGAAAAUAAUUUAAAUGAUGUAUUGAUCCAAGACUAACCAUUGUUUUUAAUUUUUUGUCUUGCAUUUUGGUACAGCAUGAUUGGAGCUUCUAUCAUAGUCAUUGGAUUUUAUGCUGUGAUGUGGGCACAAGCUCAAGAGGAGCACACAACAAGUGAAAAUGAUUUUCUCCCAUCUUCUUCAACACCUUUGUUGUCAACCAAAAACAUUGACCACUAGGACACUCUGCUUUUGUACUAUUGUAGGGUCUAUUGAUUGCAUAAUCUUUUUUUAGCCUCGUGAAAAUAUGUAAUCCUAACUGGAGUUCCCGUGGAAAUGGCUAUUGCUCAUAGUAUUUGGUGCAUGCGGUUAACACAACUACUAAUUUAUGGAUCGAUUUAUGCAUCUAUCGCCGUGGCUAACCUCUUCGCAUGUGUAACGCCCUAGUCGUUAUUUUAUUUAUUUAUGAUUUAUUUAGAGUCUUUUAUAUGAUUUUAAAUAAUUAUUGUUGAUUAUGUGGUGUGUUAUAUUUUAUUAUAUGGUUUAUUUUAAUAUUAAUUAGAAUAAGUGGGAAUUAUUAUUAUUUUGGAGGUUGGGGAUUUAAUUAGAAAUUAAUAGAAUUAAGGGGGAGUUAAAUGAAAUAAAGGGGAGUUAAGUAUUGGGAGUUAGGAAAAGAAAUAGCCAGAAAGCAGUUUCACGUACAACAAACAAGUUUUGGGAGAAAAAGGGAGGAAGAGUCAAGUAGAGCCAAGUGAACCAGAUUUUUGUACAAUUGUUCAUCUGAAUUAAGGUAAGGGUGAGGUUUACUUCAGUAGUGUAGAUGUUUAAUUCUGAUUUUGGUUUAACAGGUUUAUGGUAGGAAUUGGGGAUUUUGGGUUUAAGUUGAAUUCUUGGGUUUUUGGGUGAAUUGAGUGUAGGAAUCACUGGUUUGAUGUUAGAAAUAGGUUCUGAGUGCAUACAGCAUUUCAUUUCAUAUCUGUAAACUGAUUUGGGGAGUGAAAUUGAGGAAAUUGGGAUUUUUGGAAAAAACCUGCAUUCUGCCCGUACUGACAUUCAUCGCUCGCCCCGCGAGUAGCCUUGUCUCGCCUCGCGAGUGAACAACCUCAUGGCUCGCCUCGCGAGCAGAACCACUCGCCAUGGCGAGUUAGAGAGUGAGAGAUCAUGAUUUUCAGAUUGUUGUUAUAAGGUAUAAUUUGGUUAGUUUUGAGUACCUGAAUGAUUUUAGAGAGGACUGGGACAAUUUUUAGAUUAAAAAGAUGAAUGGGGAGCUUAAAAAUGAAGAUUUAGUGAGAAAAAUGUCAAAACUCCCGAGAGCAUCAUUUUUCUCGUUCGCCUCGUACUCGCCACGGCGAGUAACCCAUUCCUUGAGUUCGCCAUAGCGAGUAGAUGUACUCGCGAGGCGAGUUGCCCAGUAUCUGAGCUGUUUGUUCUUUAAUUGAAUAAUGUUGAAUGAUCUUGAUGUCUGAGCAUGAUUAUGAUCAAUCGUGUACUUUCUGGAAUUGUUGGAUUAACUAUGAUGAUUUGUGAUGAUUGUGAUGUAUGUUUAUAUUUAAUUAAAUCAUACAUGUUGUUAAAUGGUGGGAUUGUAAGUCAUAUUAUAUAUAUAUAUAUAUAUAUAUAUAUAUAUAUAUAUAUAUGCAUUUUUGAGUUGUAUGUAGAUAUACACAAGUGGAGUCCAUUGCAUAAGCAUUUAAAGCGGGAGGGCUCAGGCCCUGGAACGCCUUGUCGUUCAAAGCGGGAGGGCUCAUGCCCUGGAACACCUUGUUGUUCAAAUUGGUGAGGGCUUAUGCCCUGGUGAAUGCUUUAACCAUUCAAAAUUCGGUGAGGGUUUCUGCCCUAUAAAUUGAUACCACAUGCAUGUGCAUAGUCGCAUUGUUGAGGAGUCUAGCGGUGUUGUCAUGUAGUUGCAUGAGUCGUUGUUGUUGGUUGAAAAUUACCAUUUCCUGUUGAUGUUGCUAAUUAUGAAAUAUAUAUGUACAUUGAAUGAUUAUUAUUAUGUUAGGGUGUUAGAUUCAAUUGAUGAAUUUUAUAUCUAUUAUUAUUGUUGUGAAUCUCACCCCUUCUGCUUGGAAAUGUUGCCCUUCCUAUGGGUAACUUGCAGGUGAUCCUGAGUAGUAGGUGGUGGCUCAAGUGUCUAGGGCUCUGAUACGUAACGGGAUGGGACUUAGUUGUUAUAGUUUUCAUUCCUUAUGUAUCAAAUUUUGGGAACAUGUUGUAGAGCCUUUUAUUGUUAUUUGAAACAAUUAAUGAUGAAUAUUAUGUUGGGACCUUUGUGCCAGGAUUUAUUGUUGGAUGUUGAUGUUUAAUGUUUGAAGAAUAUUCCGCUGCAAAUUAUUGAUGUUUUAUGAAGGAUGUGUAUUCAAUAGUUUUAUAUUAUAUUUAAGAAAUUUUGAAAAGUAGUGUGACAUGCCCGUUUCGGUAUUAAACUCUGAUGUUAUAUUUAUUAUUUAAUUGUUUUGGGAUAACGGGGUGUUACGGCAUGAACCUUAGAGAGAAAUUUGUAUAAACACCCAAGCAAGGAUAUUGGUCUAAAGUCCUUUAAUUCCAAUGGAGAAUUGAUCUUGGGAAUUAAUGCAACAAAAUAUGCCAACAAACUCCUCGGGACCACUUCAUUAGCAUGAAAUUGGUCGAACAUAAUUCGAAUUCAUGCUUCAACAAGCACCAAAACUCCUGACAGGGACUAAAAGAAAGGAAAGUCCCUUCUCUCUCUAAAUAUCGUUUCUCUCCCUUCUCACUAAGAAAGCUUCGCAAACCACCAUCGUCUCCGCCCUUUACCACCCAAAAAUACAAAAUCAACUAUUAAGAUGUAGAUCCUUGUUCUCGGUGAAGCGAUUGACCCUGUUUGCUUUGCGUCACCACCUUCAAACCCGGAUGGGUCUCUUCAUGAAGGGUUUUCUCCUUUUUGGCGCCUUCACAAGUGGCUUCUAGGUGCGGUCUUGUUGGUCUGCUGGAUCUCUUGUUGGGUGGUCACUGUUUCGGUUCUCGUUGGAUAGUGGUGCACCACCGUUUGGUGGUUCUGUUCUGGUCCGAUCCUAUUGUUUUCCCUCUUGGGAUCCAAUGGUUUUCAAGCCCAUCUUGCAUCCUCCGUGUCGGUAAGCGGUUAGGGGUUGUUUUUUGGUUAGCUCCUCGAGGAAUUCCGGUGUUGUUUUCGACGGCUCUGGUCUCUUCGUGCUUGCUUUUACAGCUGGUCGCCUUGGCCACUCCUGUGUUUGUUUUUUGUUUUUUGUUUUUCUUUGGUUUUUGGAAGAUCAAGAAGAGUGUGGUUUUAUUCCGACUUAAGUGACUUUGUUUGAUAAUCCUUUAUCUGAUUUUUAUUGGAUUUAGAAUUUGUUUCUAAAGUUAUGUUCAUCAGUACGUGGAUUCGUUGGAUGCAUCCAUCGAUCUGGAUUCAACAAGUCUUUAUGUUCGUAUGAUGUUUCUCGAAAAGGCUAGGUGCGUAGGGGCUCCAUGUUGACGGUAGUUGUCGUUUGUCGUGCAUCAAGAACUGUAUCUGUCGUGGUUGCUUCAUGCGUCGUCGAUGGACUAUGUUGAAGUUCCAUUGUUUGUUCAUCCCUCGAUCUGGACAACAAUGGAUUGGUUUGGCCUGAAAGGGUGUUUAUGAUAUCCUGUUUAGGGAGUUGUUGGAACUUGAAUCGUUUCUGUGUUGGCAGCCGAUUCAUACGCCUAUCUAGAUGCUCUCAACACUAGCUCUACGUUUUUUUUUUAAUUUCGGUUUCGCUUCCACACGUGAGGGCGCUGGAUUGUUCGUGGGAGUUGGUAUUUUGAGUUUUGUUUUAGUUUUUUACCAUAUAGGGUAUUUUCUUGGUGAUUUACUGGGUCAGGUUCAUGCCCCCCAGUCCUGUACUUUCUUUUUAUUUUAAUCUUAUUUCUAUCCUGCCUAAAAAAAGUACCAAAACUCCUUAAUAAAAGCAAAAUUAAAACCACCCGGAGCCGAACUUUUAUCUCCAUCACACUCCUUCACAACCUCAUCAAUCUCCCGUAAAUCAAAGGACCUCACCAAAACCACAUUUUUCUCCUCCGACAAUCUCUCAAAAGGAACUCCAUCUAACUUUGGCCUCUCCCACUCACUUGAUGAUGUAUGCCUUGUGAAAAGUUCACCACCUCACACCUUAGCUCCAACGGAGAUUACACCCACCCCUCACCCACCUUUAAAGCCUUAAUUGCAUUCGUAGCAUUUCUCCCCUUCACACAUUUAUGAAAAAACUUCGGAUUUGGGUCACCACCCUCCUUCAACCAUUUAAACCUUGACCUUUGGACCCUCAUCGUAUCUCUCACCUUCAAAAGUCUCCAAAGCUCUUAGAAUUUAGCCUUUCGGGUUUGCACGCACAAGUCGACCAACAAACAUUCUUCCCCUUUAUUAUCUAAAUCCACUAUCUCCUCCACCAACCUCCGAACUUCCUCUUCUAAUUCUCCUUACUCGUCUUUGUGCCACCCUUUGAUCCCCACCUUAAGGCCUUGCAAUUUUUCCUUUAACACAUAACCCAUCCAACCUUCCACUCUAUGCUCCCUCCAAAACCCUUCCACCACACCUUUAAAACUUUUAUUAUUUAAUCAAUGAUUGUUAAAUCUAAACGGUUUUGGACCCCAAUCCCACCCUCCUUCCUUGAGAAUCAAGGGACAAUGGUCGGAAACAUUCCUCGGAAGUGUCCAAAGAGACACCCCCCCCCCCCCCACACCAGCUCUCACUCCUCGAUACCAACACUAUAUCAAUCCUAUUCAUCGAAACAUCAUUCGGAUGAUACCAAGUAAACCUCCUCCCGAGAAAUCUAAGAUCCUCCAAAUCCGCCUCCCUCAAGAAUUGAUCAAAAUGAUUAAUUUCAAUCGCUUGAGAUGUCGUCGGAUCCAUAUUCACCACCCUUCUCUCCUUACCAUGACACACCACAUUAAAAUCCCCUAAAAUGCACCACGAGGCCUCCCCUAUCUCCCUGCGAAACUCCAAUAACUUCCCCCACAACCUCUUCUUCGCCUCCAUAUAACAUUUAGAAUAAACAUUUAUGAUGACACAUCUAUAUUUUAGAACCCUCCACUCCAUACACACACACACACAUAAAGCCUUCUCCCACCACCUUAAAAAAAACAUUUGAAAAAUACUUCCUCCACAAUGAAAAAAAAAACCCGCUAUUAACUUCGGAAGGAAGAAAAUCCCAAUCACAAUCAUUGCUUCUCCAAAUAUUCUUACAAAAGCUAUUUGAGAUCUCCACCAUCUUCGUUUCUUGAAUCAUCAAGAAUUCUAUAUUAUUUUGUCUAACCAACUCCUUCUAAUUAUUCCGCUUCAAUCUCCCCCCACAACCCUCUAACAUUAAAGGUCGUAAUGAUCAUUGAUCAUUACGUCUUUUCCCCCUUCCCACUCUGUUUUCCACAUCCACCUCUUCCAUCUUCAAUAAUCUUCCCAUAACCGGGUCAUCAGAAACCGAAUAUAACAAACAUGCUUCUUUUUGUCUAAGCAACAUUUUAUUGCCCGCUAAUUCUUUCAAUGUCGUACAAACUUCACCCUCCAUCUGCGUUUUCGGCACAACCUCAUACUCCUCAAUUAUUAAUUGAAUUCUUGAAGAGAGAUUAGCUGGACCUCCAUUAGUUUGACCCUCUGGAGAUACACUUGUGGACGAAAUAUUGUCUCUAUACAUCCCUUUUUUGGAGGAUCUACUUGAGUUAAUCGAACCUUGUUUUACCCCUCUCUUUCCUUGCCUUGCCAUUUCCGCCAUUUGUAAAAAUUUUGGAGUUCCUAGAGGAUUAAAAUUAUUCCUCCAUUGUUUGCAUUUGUACCUUUGUUUCCAAAAUUGCUUCAAAAGCACCUGAUCGUCCAGAAUUUUUCCAAGAGAUUCGUUGAAAUCUGAUGCCUCCCAGUCCUCUAGAACCGCCCCUACUGAAGUUUUUCCUACUUGCACCCCUUGCUCUGUAAAAUGUUUGGAAGCCUUUAGAGAACAAUAACAUUAAGGCCCAACACACCACCCUUCCCCAAAACCGCACCCGACCCAAUAACAUGAUCCAUAAUACUGACUCAGCCCUGCUCUGCUGGCCUGCAAAUACACACAAACUUGCCCGGAAUUCGAAACCCGAGGAACAUCUCCGUCAAGAGCUCUAGUUUGGACCGUUAGAUCCAAAACCGUAUCUAGGCCCUGGUCCACCUCUAAAAGCUGGUGAGGAGACUCCUGUGGGCCCUCUCCUGCCACUUGUCCUCCUGUCACCAAACCUGAUGGAUAGGGACAAGACUUAACUUUUCCCACUUCUGCACUCACAUGUUGCUUUUCUACUUCUCUCCCCUCCACGCGUUGUUGCCCCAUUCUUUGAUCAGAAACAACUUUCCCCAAUACAGUGAACUUUCUCAAUAAACCUAGUAAAUUCUGACCACUUCCUUCCUUUUGUCUCUCCCUUACCUCCAUAGACCUGCCAUCACACAUUCCAACCUUUUCCCCUAGCCAUACUACCUCCCCCUUCUUCGUUAGGAAAAGUAAUCGACCCCUUCUCCCAGCACCGCCCCCAUCACUCUACCUUCUAUCAUCUCUUCACCUUCGGUCGCCCCUCCUCCACAACCUACAAAGUAUAGUUAGCUCCAACCACCACUGUCCUCAACUGUUCAUCAAUAAACCCCAUUAUGGUCAUUGAAACCUGAAUAUAUUCUCGCCACAUCCAAACGUCAAGUGAUGACAGGUCAGCUUACGUUUUGUAAUGUUUUCUAUAUUUGAGUCUGUAAUUCUAGUUUUCCCAAAACAUAGAUUUUUUUUUUGGGGGGGGUUGAAGUAAUUAACGAAAAAAAAAUCAUACAAAUCAGCAAAUCAAGAAGAUCCAAAGAUUUGUGAAGACUUUGGGAAGACAGAGAAGGAAGAUUCAGGAGACUUUACAGUAUGGAGGAAUUAUGUUCCCAAGUUCCGAGACAAGUUAUUUGAAGAUGAAGACCUAAAACGACGGUAAAUCAGAGAAAGUGGGCCAAGGAAGCAACUCCUUGCGCCUUGGGCAUGGCAAAAAGCUGUCAUGCGUCUAGAAUUUCUCACUAUGAAUACUAGCCUUUCCUCAUUUAGAAUUUCUCGUUCAAAACUGUGGCAGUUCAAGAGGAAUGCAACUUUGGAGCUUCGGGAGAGUUUCAAUCAUCUCCUUGAUUUUCUAGGAUAUGUUUUUUAUCUUUAGUAAUUUGUUUUUAGUUACCAUGUGUAACUAAUUCUUUAAUUUAAUUUAAUGAAAUUCUUAAAUAAUAAAAUUCUUAAAAAGUGCUCUUAGGACAUUCGUUAAAAAAACCAUUUUUUUAUUAUUUUAAAUAGACAAAAUGAUAAAUAACCAUUACACUUCACACAUAUAAAUAGGUGGACCGAAAUUCUAACCCUGUCGCAUUGUCCUAUCUAUCAAUUAUAACUUUUCUUUUAAUGAGGCUAGAGUUGAGGACAAGGAAAGCCGGAUAUUAUUGAAGUAAGAAGUGAGAACAAACAAAUUGGAGAAAAAAUAGAUAGAGACAAAAAAAAAAUGGUGAGCAAAGGAGCAAGUGUAGCCACAAGUAGUGUGAGACUGCCGUGCACGGAUUAAUUUUUGUAAAUUAAAUACAUUUUAGAUUUUAAAUUAUGUAAAAUUAUACAAAUAAUACAAAAUUAAAAAUCACGAAAAUUUAUGAUAACAUUUAAUCAUUACAGUAAAUUUAAGUUUAAGUUUCAUUAUCUUCAACAUACCAACUACUUUCAUCGAGUUUUUCCGACUCUUUGUCCUAGAUUUUUUCGAUAGCAUUAUCUCAACCAAAUCGUAUUUUAUAUGGCUGCCUAAUAUUGGAUUUCAUUGAUAUGUUCCUUUUAUCAAUACUCAUUUUUCCCUAAAGAAAAAAAUAAAUACUCAAUUUUAUUAGACCGAUACAAUUCUAUUGUCAUUUUUGUUCUAUUUACAACAUAAUUAUACACAGAAAUAGGAUAGAAGAUUUUAUAGCUACAAAUAGAAUCAUGUUACAGAAAAUAUAUUUUUCUAAUCUUUUUUUUUUUAGAGAAUAUUUUUCUCAUCCUUGUGGAGCACUUGUUGAGAUGCCUUGUACAUUUCCUAAAAAAAAGAGAUGCCUUGUACAUGGAACAUUAUAAAGUAUUGAUAUUUUAUAUUAUUCUUUUGAUAUUUUAUAAAAGUACUUAUCAUCUUAAUUAAUAUUAAUUACUUAGAUGCGCCGGGAUUUUUGACCGGAUAAGACAACCAAACAAUAGGAGGAAAGCAAUAUUUUAUUUUUUAUGGUUUAAGGUGCGUUUGUUUCAAGUUAUAUUUAUAGAUUUUUGAAAAUAAAAUGAUAUAAAUAUAUAUGUCUAUGUUUGUUAUAAAUUUAUUAAAUUUUAUUCUCAGGCAUAAAAUGUUUCUGGGAUAGAAAAAAUUCCCAAAGAACAGGUGGGAAUAAAAUUCCUAUAAAGAUAAAAAUAAAUUCAUGUGUAACUAUCUAUUAUAACUAUUUUUAAGAUUCACGAAAAUAUUAUAAUAUUAAUCAAACAUCUUUUUUUAAAUAUGUUGCAAUAAAAUUUUCAAGAAACGUUAUUAUAAGAAAUAAAUUUGAUAAACUUAAAACAAUCACCCUUAGAUAGAUGAAAUGAUAAAUAACUAUUGAACUUCAGACAUACAAAUAGAUUGGUUGGGAUGAUAACCCUGACCGCAUUGUCCAACUUAACGAUUUCGAUAUUUUUAUUAGCGAGACUACAGUUGUGACAAGGAAAGCCAGGUAUUAUUAAAGUAAGAAGUGUGAACAAGCAAAUUGGAGAAAAAAAUCAGAGAGACAAAAGAAAAAUGGUGAGCGAAGGAGCAAGUGUAACAGCAGCAAUGAUUGCAGCUCAAUUCGUGGAAGUGGGUGGUGAUACUCUAAUGAAAGCAGCCACCAAAGAUGGAAUGAGUAUUUUCAUUUUCAUUGUUUACUCAAACCUUUUGGCUCUAUGUUUUCUUCUACCAUCCACUCUCUUCCACCAUAGAAAAAGAGCUCCUCCUCCAAUUUCAACAUCAAUUUUCUGCAGAAUAUUUGUUUUUGGUUGCCUCAGGUAAGAACAAUGUUGGCACCAAAUUAAUUAACAUUGUGUGUGUGUAUAUAUAUUAUUAGGGUUUUUCUAACACUGCAAAUUUACACAUGUUAGGAAGUUAAAAAAAAAAAGUAAGUUCGCAUUGGAAUUUAUGUAUUAAUAUUAAAUAUGACUUUUUCUAUAAGGAUUUGAAUUUGGCAAAAUAGAGUGAUAUGGACCUACAUGUGCAGAACUGCAACUCAGACGUUAAUGGCUUCUGGAAUUAGAUUCAGUUCUCCUACUUUGGCUUCAGCUAUGGUUGAUAUUGUCCCUGCUUUUACCUUCAUACUUGCUAUAAUUUCAAGGUAUGUUAUUUUUAUUUUAUGGUUGAAAUUACAAGGUUUGUUGUUUUUUGGAUUAAAAUGCAAUUAAUUGCAUCAUAAAGUCAGCAACAAAGAAUACUCCUAUUUUAUACAAUUUUUUUGGAUUAUUAUUAUUGAUUAAUGGCGGUAUCCAGAUUAAUUAAAUUUAAGGAGAAAAAGUUAUAGUGGCUUUAUGCCUAUCUCUUUUAUAUUAGUUCCUCUAAUUUUUUCUCUUGAUAUAAAUUAAAAUACAAUAAAAUUAUCGAUAGGCUACUCUCUCGGUGGGUAGCAUGUCUUUUCUCGAUUGGUACUGAGUAGAGUUGUAUUGUACUCUUCUAUUAAUUUCUAGUUAAUUUUCUUGGUUGUGGGACAUCUUUUUUUAAAGUUGAAUUAAUUAACCUUUGCACUACUUUCUAGUUUCUUUGGCUGUGGCCUGUGGGACAUCUCUUCUUCAAUUCGGCAAGAAAUAUUUUCCCACCUUAGUUGACUUUUACUAAUGAGCUUUAUAAUAUUUGACACAAUAGAGUGAACAAAUAUUAUUUUAAAAAAAUAUUAUCUUUUCUUUCCCUCUCUUUGUUGGAGAUGAAUAUAGUUUCUACUAGAAAUAAUCAAAUUGAUUGAAAGAGGAAUGAGUAUUGAAAUAAGAUUUGGUAUUGAUUUGAUUAUUCACAAUGGAAAUUACUUGCUUAUCUAGUAAUGGCUUUGUCUAACAAACUAAAGCUGAAAUCUAUGAAAGUUACAUAGCAUACAUAACUAACUAAACAAAGCUAUUUACACUAUAUACACCUACGUUAAUAUUACUAAUCUUAACAUGCCUUCUUAAUGCAAAUUUUCAAAAGCUACAACUCCUAGUUCCUUUCUAAGCUCUAAAAACUGAACUAUUUGAUUGGCUUGGUCAGGAUAUCAAUAGUUUUAUGCAUUAAAAUUAAAGCCUUACAUCAAAUCACACACCAAUUCUAUGGAUCAUCUCCAUCAUAUCAACACCUUAAUCUUCAUCAAUCUCGUCAUCAUCAUCACUACUUCAUCACUUCGAUUUUCACCUUUAUUGUCUCUUUCUUAUUGGACGAAAUAGAGCUUUUAGGAAGACGACGACAAAUGAUGGUAACAAAAUGGAAACGAUUGAAACCAAGCAAAGUGCAUCAAAAUCGUGUGAAAACUUGUGAUUUUGUAGCGGUUUCAUUUGUUGCGAUCUUACAACGAUUUUUCAUGUUUUUCGAUUAUGCUAUGGAUUUGGAUCGAAGAGGAUGAGAAAAAUUGCAAAAUCCUACGAUUUUGAUAACAAUGGCCGCAUCAUAAUUUUUAGAUGGAUAAAUGUCACAAAGAACUAAAAUUGUAAGGACAUAAUCUAAAAACAAUAUAUUGCACUAAAAUCAUAUUUAACUCAUAUUAUAGGACCAAAAAUGUUCUUAACCCUAGUUUUUUUUGAAAAACAAUGGUUAAUAAAGGUCAGAAAUUAAGAACUCGUCUCCAUUCUCUUUUUUCUUAUAUAUAGAGAUAUAGUAAGUUUGCAUGAUGAAUUAAAAGUAUAACAGGUGAAUCGGUGAAGAAAGGCUAAAAUUUCUCUAUAUGGAAAAACAUUUUCAAAAUUUCAUUACUAUUAUUUAAUCCUUGCAAAUACAAGAAAAAAUAAACUAACAUGAAUACUGUGAUGUGCAUUUUCAGGAUGGAAGUUCUAAAUAUGAAAAAGCAUAGCAGCCAGGCAAAAGUUAUUGGCACAGUGGUCUCUAUUGCAGGGGCAUUAGUUGUGACAUUUUAUAAAGGGAUGCCAUUGAUAAAUGAUGCAAUUCAACAUAUAGAAAUUGGAGCAAGUGGAAUUUACCUAUUAGGGAAAUCAGAUUGGAUACUUGGUGCUUUUCUUCUUGCAGUUGCAUGUUUUUGUCUCUCUCUUUUGUUUAUUGUCCAGGUAAACAAACUAUUAAUAUUUGUGAUUGUCAUGUGAAGAGAACCAUAAGAAAAUGUGGCCGAUGCAGAUUUAAUUAUGGUUGUAAACACAUAAAAAAUAUUGAUUUCGUAGUCUAAUAUAAAGGUUUUAGAUGUCUCUGCAAGGACAUCACAACCAUAAUAGCUGUUGCAUUUGUUUGAAUGUUGCCACAAUACAAUGGUUCACAACAUAAUCACAAUGAGCUAUAAUAUAAUAUAUUCAAAUUUUAAUUCUACCUAUAUAUGCAGACUUGGAUUGUCAAGGAUUAUCCAGAAGAGCUAGUGAUAACAACCAUUUGUUGCUGUUUUGUGGUAAUCAUAUCUACCAUUGUAGCUCUCAUUGCAGAGGGAAAUUCAAAAGCUUGGAGACUCAGACCUGAUAAAGAGUUGCUAUCUGUGUGUUACUCAGUAAGUUUAAGCUUUAUUAUAAUUAUAAUUAGGCUUAAUUGCACUUUUGGCCACCUAUCUUUCUAAAAGUUGUGAUUUUGGCCCCCUAACUAAUUAAAAUACAAAACAACCCCUAUGUAUUGGAUCUUUGACAGUUUUGGCCCCAAGGCCACUUUUGAUUAGUCUUCGCUGACGUGUCACUCACAAUGGUCGACACGUGGCACCUUACUUAAGGGAUAUAGGUGUCAUGUCAGCGAAGACUAAGUCAAAAGUGGCCUUGGGGGCCAAAACUGCCAAAGAUCCAAUACAUAAGGGACUGUUUUGUAUUUUAAUUAGUUAGGGGGUCAAAAUCGCAACUUUUAGAAAGUUAGGGGUCAAAAGUGCAAUUAAGCCUAUAAUUAUUAUUAUUAUUAUUAUUAGGCUUAAAAAAUUAUUAUGAAAUUUUAAAACAUAUUAAAAAAGUUUGCAUCAUAAUUUUUUUACAUGAAAUGUAUUGUAACGUAAAAAUAUGUUUUUUUUGUUAAGUAGUUUAUUGACUGAGAAUUUACUUUUAUAAGAUGAAUAAAUGGGGUUUCGAGGGUUCGAACUUCAUCCCCUACAUAUAUUAUGUGUUGUUGUCCAUAUCAACCAAACAAAGCUCACGAGGACUGUGUUUUUAUAAUUAUCAUUUAGCUAACGUGGAUAUUUAAAUAUGUUCUUUUAGUUUCAGAAUUAUAAAUUGUAGCUGUCUAAAUUUUGGUCUUGUGAUUAUUCAUUUAAUAAAUUAUAGGCAGCAUUUGUGGUAUCAUUAAGGAAUGUUGUAAACACAUGGGCAUGUCGUAAGAAAGGACCAAUAUAUGUAGCUACCUUCAACCCUUUAAGAGUGGUCAUUGCACUUGGCAUGCGGGGUAAUAUUUUUGGGAGACAAUCUUUAUCUUGGAAGGUAUAUAUAAAGACCAAAAAUUUGUGAAAUAUAAUUUCAAGAUUGACUAAUUUUUUGUAAUUAAAAACUGGUUUAACCUAUUGGUGCAGCGUGAUUGGUGCUGCUAUCAUAGUUAUUGGAUUUUAUGCUGUGAUAUGGGCAAAGGCUCAAGAGGAACAGACAACAAGUGAAAAUAACUUUUUGUCAUCUUCUUCAACCCCUCUAUUGUCAAACAAAAGCAUCGAUAUCUAGGAUGAUGUAGACUCUACUUUUUUAAGGUGGUAGGUUAUACUAAACAUUAUGUUUGAUAAACGUAACUAUUGUGAGAGAAAUGUGUAUUGCACGAGAAUUGAAGCAAUGUAAUCAUUCAUGAACAAACUCUUACAAAUGGUUAUUUCUAUUCACUAAAGGGCAGAUUUUCUAUAAAUAAAUAUAUUUUGGAAGUAGAAAAUAAGUCCGAAAAAGAAGGUAGAACAUUACAUUUUUGUGAGUAUAAAUUCUACCGAAAAUAAUACUAAAUCAUUGUAUCUUUUCUUUAGUGAACAAGAGAAAUUAACAUGACUUUAUUCUCUAAACUAUCAUUCUAUCUUUUCUUUUCUUUAGUGCACAAGAGAUUUGCCAUUAUACCAUUUUGCAUCCAGUCGGCAUAACUGGUGGGGACGAAUCGAACCUCAAAGUUAGUGUGUCCCACACACGCUUUGAAAUUUAUGGGCACUCUUCAUCAUUGAUGACAGAGCAUCAUAUGAUAUUUUGACUAUGUUUUUAGUAUUUUUUAUUUGCAUUUAAAUACAAAUAAGAUGAGUUAAAGGAGUUGUCAGUGGUUUGAGGAACAUAUUGUAUUGUUUUCACUCGAGUCGUUGUAAUUCAGUUUUCUCCUAGAUCAUGCAAUUCCAUAGGUGUUUUGAGUGUUUUGCAGUGAGGAAUAAUGUAAAUCAUCAAAUCAAAACAUCUUGUGAAGAUUAAGAAUUGAAGAUUAAGGGUUCUUAUUAGAUAGGAAAAUUGUUGCUCAAUGCUUUGAUAGGAAAAUUGUAGUGGCUACCAUUAAUUAAUCAUGUCAUUUUAGAUUGUAAGGAACUUAUUAGAAAUCUAGAUGUAGUUAAAGUUGAGUAUAUUAGCAGAUUGUUAAAUGCUAAAGCUCAUAACCUUGAUGGAAUUGCUAGAGAUGUUGGAUCAAAGACAUGAGUGGGGAAUGCCCCUCCACAUGGUCAAAUUAGUUGUAACCUUGUUUCUGUUUUCUGUUAAAUGAACAAGUGGAAUUUCAAAAAAAAUAAAUAAAUAAAUUAGAAGUGAGGACAAACGAAUUGGAAAGCCAGAUAUUAUUAAAGUGAGAACAAAUUUGGUUUGAUUUGGGACGCACCUUUAACGGUUUGGGUAAUAUUUUCCAAAUUGUAAUAACAGUCAACUUGGUUUGAUUAUUUUCCUAAACCAAACUAUAAAUAGUCUUGGUUUUCUGGACUAAAAUAAAUAUAAAAAAAAAGUUUUGGUUCUUCUUUUUUAAGGAAAAAUAUAAAAAAAAAUAUUAUUCAUCAAAAAAGUUAUAGUUAUCGGAUAUUUUAUUAAAGAAAGUGUUAACGAGUGUUUCAAAGACUAUUUCCAUAUUAUUUUAAUAGGAAAUGUUAGCGAGUACUUUAAGGACACUCUUUAAAAGCUUUAAAUAAUAAUUUUUUAUGAAAAUUUGUGCAUUCAAUGAAUCGAAAAUUGAAGUAUUGGACUUUUUAAUGAAAAGUUUCUUAAGACAUUUAUUGACAAUACCUAUUUUUUUUUUUCAAUUCUUUUAAAUAGAUAAAAUGAUAAACAAUUAUUGAAGUUCGCAAAUAUAAGUAGAUGGGUCGGAAUUCUAACCUUGUUGCAUCGUCCGAUCUAUCAAUUUUAACGUUUCUAUCAUUGAGGCUAGAAUUGAGGACAAAGAAAGCCCGAUAUUUUUUUUUAUCUUAAACGAAGUGUCGAAUCUGGAUCACAACAUCUGACUUUGCAAUUUCGGCAUUUACCAGUUGAGCUAGGACUAAGCCCGAUAUUAUUAAAGUAAGAAGUGAGAACAAACAAAAAAAUCAGAUAGAGACAGAAAAAACAUUGUGACCAAAGGAGCAAGUGUAACAAACAACAACUAGUGUGAGACUGCCGUGCACGGAUUAACUUUCAUAAACUAAAUACAUUUUAAAUGAUGUAAAAUAUACAGACAAACAAUAUAAAAUUAAAAUUCACGAAAAUUUAUGAUAACAUUAAAUCAUUACGGUUCUUAAAAAAAAAAAAAAAAAUAAUCAGUAAAUUCAAUGGAAAUGGUUUGAUCACGGUGUCCCUAAAUCACAAUGGUUGUCUCUUUGACACACCAACUACUUUAAUCGAGCUUUUCCGACUCUCUGUCCUAGUUUUUUUACCAUAGCAUUAUUUCAACCAAAUCAUAUUCUAUACUAUAUGGUUACCUAAUAUUGGAAGAUUUUAUUGCUACAAAUAGAAUCAUGUUACAAAAAUAUAUUUUUCUAAUCUUUUUUUAGAGAAUAUUUUCCUCAUCCUUGUGGAGCACUUGUUGAGAUGCCUAUUCUAAAGUGAAGAUAUUUUAUAUUCUUCUUUUGAUAUUUUAUGAAAGUAAUUGAUUAUCAUCGUAAUUAAUAUUAAUUAAUUAGAUGAGCCGGGAUUUUGGACUUGAUAAGACAAGCAAAUUAUUGGAGGAAAUUAAAGCAAUAUAUUUUUUAUUCUUGUAAGUUGUGUUUGUUUCUAGUUAUAUUCAUAGAUUUUUGAAAUUAAAUGAUAGAAAUAUAAGCUAAAUUAUUUCACAGGUCUUUUAAGUUUUAUGUUUAUAAUAGAUUGAUCCUUUAAGUUAUUUUGAACACACAAAAAUCCUUUAAGUUUAAGGUUUGUAAUAGAAAAAAUGUUAUUGGAAAUAGAAAAAAUUCCAGAAAAAAAAGUGGGAAUAAAGUUCUCACGAAGAUAAGAAUAAAUUCAUUCCCAAAAAGAAUAAUCAUGUGUAACUAUAUAUUAUAACCUCUAUUUUUAAGAUUCUUGAGAAUAUAUAAUCUUAACCAAACAUUUUAUUUUUAUUUUUUUUAAAUACGUUGAAAUAAAAUUCACAAUCUUAGAAAUAUAUUUAGUAAACUUGAAACAAACACAUCAUAGAUAGAUGAAAUGAUAAAUAACCAUUGAACAUCACGCAUAUAAGUAAAUGAGCUAGGAUAUUAAUCCUAAUCACAUUGUCCGACCUAACAAUUUUGACAUUUUUAUUAGUCAAACUAAAGUUAAACUUGAGGACAAGAAAAGCAGAUAUUAUAAAAGUAAGACGUGAGAACAAGCAAAUUAGAGAAAAAAUGGCGAGUGGAGGAGCAAGUGUAACAACAACAAUGAUUGCAGCUCAAAUCGUUGAAGUGGGUGGUGAAACUCUAAUGAAAUCAGCCACUAAAGAUGGAAUGAGUAUUUUUAUUUUCAUUUUUUAUUCAAACCUUUUGGCUCUAUGUUUUCUUCUACCAUCCACUCUCUUCCACCAUAGAAAAAGAGCUCCUCCUCCAAUUUCAACAUCAAUUUUCUGUAGAUUACUUCUUCUUGGUUGCCUCAAGUAAGAACAAAAUAGUAUAUAUAUUAUUAUUAUUAUAAGGAUUUGAAUUUGGUAAAAUAGAGUGAUAUGGAGCUACUUGUGCAGAACUGCAACUCAGACGUUAAUGACUUCUGGAAUUAAAUUCAGUUCUCCUGCGUUGGCUUCAGCUAUUGUUAAUCUUGUCCCUGCUUUUACCUUCAUACUUGCUAUAAUUUCAAGGUAUGUUGUUUUUAUUUUAUGGUUUAAAUUACAAGGUUUGUUCUUUUUUUGGAUUAGAAUGCAUUUACUUGCAUCAUAAAGUCAGCAACAUAAAAUAUACUCUUUUUGUCUUUAAAAAACAAAAACUGUUUUAUUCAACUUUUUUUUUAUAGAUAGAUGAAAUGUAAAGUCAUUAUGAAGUCACACACAUAAGUAGAGGUAUUAAGUUUCGAACCCCGAUUAUGACAUCCAGCCUAAUAAUUUUUGCAUUUUGCUAGUUGAGCUAGGACUUAUAGAUUGUUUUAUUCACAUUUAUUUACAACUUUUUCUUUUUUCAGAUUUAUUAAAUAAACUAUGCAUCUAGAUGAUAUUAAAUUUUAAAUUAUUAAUUAUUUAAUGAAUCAAAAAAACAAAAAUUACUUAUUUAUUUGGUGGGUAGCUUGUCUUUUCUCGAUUGCUACUGAGUUGUAUCGUAGUGUUUCGUUUCUUGUUAAUUUUCUUGGUUGUGGGACAUGCAUCUCUUUUUAGUUAGUUGACUUCUACUAGUGAAUUUUAUAAUAUCUGACAUGAUCGGUUGAAUAAAUUAAAUAAAUAGAUAAUAUGUUUCAUAUAAUAGGGUGAACAAAUAUUAUUAUUUAAAAAAAAUAUAUAAUAUGAUCCACUCUUUUCAUCUCUAUGUUGGGGAUGAAAAUAGUUUCUAUUUGAGAGAAUAAGAUUGAUUGAAACUUCCUUCCUUCAAAAAAAGAUUGAUUGAGAGAAAAAUGAAUAUUGAAAUAAGAUUUGGUAUUGAUUAUUCACAAUGGUGAUUGGUGAUGUAUUUAUACACGUAGAAUGAUGCUACUUGCUCAGCAAGUAAUGGCUUUGUCUAACAAACUAAAGUUGAAAUCCAUGAAACACUACAAGAGAAUCUAAGAUUUGCUACCAUAACUGUGCUAGGAAAUAUAUUGGUAGUGAAUAUUAAAACAAUUAGCUACCAUUUGAUUGAAUUUUGUUUUAUUUUGAUUUUAUAAUAUAUAAAAAUAAAUAAAUUACUGUAAAGGUCAUUUUUGUUUAAAAUAGAAAAAAAAAUCAUUUAGAAACCAGCACCACAUUAUUGCAAAUCGCGAUCUCAAUUUUGUCCCCCUCACUCGCACAACCUCCGCCGUGGUACCGAUCAUAAGGUCUAACGAUAAAUCAGAAGGUCAAAAUAACCUCAUUAUGUUAAUUUUUUUAUUUUGCUAAUACAAAACUGUUAACUUUCUUUGCCGCAUCAUCAUCAUUUUUUGAUAGAUAAAUGUCACAAAGAACUAAAAAUUGUAAAAACAUAGUCUAAAAACAAUAUAUUGCACUAAAAUCAGAUUUAACACAUAUUGUAGGACCAAAAAUGUUAUUAAACAAAAACAAGGGUUUAUAAAGAUCACAAAGAACUCAUAUAUAUAUCAAUUGUAACAUCUCAGAAGGUGUUUGGUACUAGAGACCAAGGUGAUUUUCAAAAAUAUCUGAACUGAUAAAGCUUGAAUAUUUUUGGGACGUUUAAUACUACAAUUACAUAUUUUUCAAAAUAUACAGCAAGAAUUUACAUUCUAGUAUAUGACUCUGACUGUGAUCCGGUAACAAAAUGGCCACUUUCAAAAUUUCAUUACUAUUAUUUAAUCCUUGCAAAUACGAGAAAAAAUAAACUAACAUGAAUACUGUGAUGUGCAUUUUCAGGAUGGAAGUUCUAAAUAUGAAAAAGCAUAGCAGCCAGGCAAAAGUUAUUGGCACAGUGGUCUCUAUUGCAGGGGCAUUAGUUGUGACAUUUUAUAAAGGGAUACCAUUGAUUAAUGAUGCCAUUAAAAAUAUAGAAAUGGGAGCAAGUGGAAUUUUCCUUUUAGGGAAAUCAGAUUGGAUAAUUGGUGCUUUUCUUGUUGCAGUUGGUAGUUUUUGUCUUUCUCUUUUGUUUAUUGUCCAGGUAAACAAACUAUGUAUCAACGUGUAAUUAUCAUAUCAAUAGGGAAAUAUAUUCAAUUUUUUUCCAUCUAUGUAUAUAUAUACAGACUUGGAUUGUCAGGGAUUAUCCAGAAGAGCUAGUGAUAAACACCAUUUGUUGCUGUUUUGUGGUAAUCAUAUCUACCAUUGUAGCUCUCAUUGCAGAGGGAAAUUCAAAUGCUUGGAGACUCAGACCUGAUAAAGAGUUGCUAUCUGUGUGUUACUCAGUAAGUUUAAGAUUUAUUAUUCUUAUUAUUAGGCUUAAAGUCUGUUCUGAGUUUAACUCAGUUGAUAGGAACGUUGCAUAUUCUAUGCAGGGAU
This 19503-nucleotide long non-coding RNA is filed under the name Medicago truncatula (barrel medic). RNAcentral describes it as "long non-coding RNA (MTRU_LNC003027)". The stretch from base 12738 to 12935 matches the Rfam family "MIR2619 microRNA precursor family". Lineage: Eukaryota; Viridiplantae; Streptophyta; Magnoliopsida; Fabales; Fabaceae. The record is from RNAcentral.